GAUGAACGCUGGCGGCGUGCCUAAUACAUGCAAGUCGAGCGAAAAGACGAGGAGCUUGCGCCUCUGAUGUUAGCGGAGGACGGGUGAGUAACACGUGGAUCCCCUACCUAUAAGACGGAGAUAACUUCGGGAAAGCGGCGCUAAUACCGGAGAACAUCCUGAACCGCAGGGGGCAACAGUGAAAGACGGCGUUGCGGGCACUUAUAGAGGGAUCCGCGCCGCUGUAGCUGGUUGGGCCGCUAAAGGCUUACCAAGGGAACGAGGCGUAGCCGAGCGGAUAGGGGGAUCGCCCACCUUGGAACGGAGACACGCACCAGACUCCUACGGGAGGCAGCAGUAGGCAACCGGCCGCAACGGGCGAAAGCAUGACGGAGUAACGCCGCGCGAGUGACGAAGGUCCUCGGUGCGUAAUACCCUGUUACUAGUGAUGAACAGCUUUGUCCUUAACUAUGCACUUCUUGACGGUACCUGAUCAGAAAGCCACGGCUAACUACGUG
This 497-nucleotide ribosomal RNA is filed under the name uncultured bacterium. RNAcentral's name for it is "partial 16S ribosomal RNA". It matches the Rfam family "Bacterial small subunit ribosomal RNA", at positions 28 to 507 of the family's 1533-position model. The record is from RNAcentral.